This is a long non-coding RNA of Leptopilina boulardi, 172 nucleotides long. RefSeq lists it as uncharacterized. The record is from RefSeq and is a predicted model, not a curated record. Lineage: Eukaryota; Metazoa; Arthropoda; Insecta; Hymenoptera; Figitidae. The transcript is spliced from 3 exons.
AUAUAAAAUAAAAAAUCUUUUCAAUUCAACUUUCAAAAUUAAUUAAAGAUGAUUAAAAUUAUUAUAUGUAAAUAAAAUAAACAAAAUUAAACAGACGUGACAAUGUCGAAAUGCAUCUGAUGAGGACACAGAAUUCUGUGUCGAAACGCGUCACAUUUUUAUGUCAAUUCUU